This 253-nucleotide ribosomal RNA is filed under the name uncultured bacterium. Its description in RNAcentral is "partial 16S ribosomal RNA". It matches the Rfam family "Bacterial small subunit ribosomal RNA", at positions 524 to 776 of the family's 1533-position model. The record is from RNAcentral.
UACAGAGGGGGCCAGCGUUAUUCGGAAUUAUUGGGCGUAAAGGGCGCGUAGGCGGCUUUGCGUGUCUUUCGUGAAAUCCCUCGGCUCAACUGAGGACGUGCGGAAGAAACUGCAGGGCUGGAGUCCGGGAGAGGAGGGUGGAAUUCCCAGUGUAGCGGUGAAAUGCGUAGAUAUUGGGAGGAACACCGGUGGCGAAGGCGGCCCUCUGGACCGGUACUGACGCUGAGGCACGAGAGCGUGGGGAGCGAACCGG